This 427-nucleotide ribosomal RNA is filed under the name uncultured Burkholderia sp. RNAcentral's name for it is "bacterial SSU rRNA". It matches the Rfam family "Bacterial small subunit ribosomal RNA", at positions 355 to 774 of the family's 1533-position model. The record is from RNAcentral. Lineage: Bacteria; Pseudomonadati; Pseudomonadota; Betaproteobacteria; Burkholderiales; Burkholderiaceae.
UGGGGAAUUUUGGACAAUGGGCGCAAGCCUGAUCCAGCAAUGCCGCGUGUGUGAAGAAGGCCUUCGGGUUGUAAAGCACUUUUGUCCGGAAAGAAAUCCUCUGCCCGAAUACGGCGGGGGGAUGACGGUACCGGAAGAAUAAGCACCGGCUAACUACGUGCCAGCAGCCGCGGUAAUACGUAGGGUGCAAGCGUUAAUCGGAAUUACUGGGCGUAAAGCGUGCGCAGGCGGUUCGUUAAGACAGAUGUGAAAUCCCCGGGCUUAACCUGGGAACUGCAUUUGUGACUGGCGGACUCGAGUAUGGCAGAGGGGGGUAGAAUUCCACGUGUAGCAGUGAAAUGCGUAGAGAUGUGGAGGAAUACCGAUGGCGAAGGCAGCCCCCUGGGCCAAUACUGACGCUCAUGCACGAAAGCGUGGGGAGCAAACA